Molecule: ribosomal RNA, 1236 nt
Filed under: 'Quercus humboldtii' phytoplasma
Lineage: Bacteria; Bacillati; Mycoplasmatota; Mollicutes; Acholeplasmatales; Acholeplasmataceae
Description: bacterial SSU rRNA
Rfam family: Bacterial small subunit ribosomal RNA
Source: RNAcentral
UGCUAAGACUGGAUAGGAGACAAGAAGGCAUCUUCUUGUUUUUAAAAGACCUAGCAAUAGGUAUGCUUAGGGAGGAGCUUGCGUCACAUUAGUUAGUUGGUGGGGUAAAGGCCUACCAAGACUAUGAUGUGUAGCCGGGCUGAGAGGUUGAACGGCCACAUUGGGACUGAGACACGGCCCAAACUCCUACGGGAGGCGGCAGUAGGGAAUUUUCGGCAAUGGAGGAAACUCUGACCGAGCAACGCCGCGUGAACGAUGAAGUAUUACGGUACGUAAAGUUCUUUUAUUAGGGAAGAAUAAAUGAUGGAAAAAUCAUUCUGACGGUACCUAAUGAAUAAGCCCCGGCUAACUAUGUGCCAGCAGCCGCGGUAAUACAUAGGGGGCAAGCGUUAUCCGGAAUUAUUGGGCGUAAAGGGUGCGUGGGCGGUUAAAUAAGUUUAUGGUCUAAGUGCAAUGCUCAACAUUGUGAUGCUAUAAAAACUGUUUAGCUAGAGUAAGAUAGAGGCAAGUGGAAUUCCAUGUGUAGUGGUAAAAUGCGUAAAUAUAUGGAGGAACACCAGUAGCGAAGGCGGCUUGCUGGGUCUUCACUGACGCUGAGGCACGAAAGCGUGGGGAGCAAACAGGAUUAGAUACCCUGGUAGUCCACGCCGUAAACGAUGAGUACUAAACGUUGGGUAAAACCAGUGUUGAAGUUAACACAUUAAGUACUCCGCCUGAGUAGUACGUACGCAAGUAUGAAACUUAAAGGAAUUGACGGGACUCCGCACAAGCGGUGGAUCAUGUUGUUUAAUUCGAAGGUACCCGAAAAACCUUACCAGGUCUUGACAUGCUUCUGCAAAGCUGUAGAAACACAGUGGAGGUUAUCAGUUGCACAGGUGGUGCAUGGUUGUCGUCAGCUCGUGUCGUGAGGUGUUGGGUUAAGUCCCGCAACGAGCGCAGCCCUUAUUGUUAGUUACCAGCACGUAAUGGUGGGGACUUUAGCAAGACUGCCAGUGAUAAAUUGGAGGAAGGUGGGGACGACGUCAAAUCAUCAUGCCCCUUAUGACCUGGGCUACAAACGUGAUACAAUGGCUGUUACAAAGGGUAGCUGAAGCGCAAGUUUUUGGCGAAUCUCAAAAAAACAGUCUCAGUUCGGAUUGAAGUCUGCAACUCGACUUCAUGAAGUUGGAAUCGCUAGUAAUCGCGAAUCAGCAUGUCGCGGUGAAUACGUUCUCGGGGUUUGUACACACCGCCCGU